ACUUAGAUAGCUUAAGAAGAGCUUGAUAUUGAAGAUAUCAUGGUAGUAUUAUUACUUUUAAGUA
This 64-nucleotide transfer RNA is filed under the name Rhopaea magnicornis (brown cockchafer). RNAcentral's name for it is "tRNA-Phe". The record is from RNAcentral. Lineage: Eukaryota; Metazoa; Arthropoda; Insecta; Coleoptera; Scarabaeidae.